Arabidopsis thaliana (thale cress) is the source of this 440-nucleotide long non-coding RNA. RefSeq annotates it as other RNA. Lineage: Eukaryota; Viridiplantae; Streptophyta; Magnoliopsida; Brassicales; Brassicaceae. The record is from RefSeq. The transcript has a single exon.
GAAACGGUUGCUUUUGGGCUGUCUAUGAGUCAUCAUGUAAUUCAUGGACUUGGAAUUCUUUCUUGAAGUUAUGACCUUUAGCUGAGAAUUUUCUAAAAAGCAACGUGCGGAGUGGAAGAAACACAUGUGUUCUCAUCUUUGGAAACAUCGACGUUCCUAGACCUAGGCAAAAUGAGAAGGAAUGGAUGAAAUUAAUGUAUUAUUCCAAAACAUGUAUACUUUUCAAGGGCUUGUUUUCUUUGCUCUUCAUAUGAGGAGUCAACGGACCAAUUGUUCCCAAUUUUUUUUUUUUUGCCUCUAAAAUAUGACGCCAUAUUCUUCCAUGAUUAGAUCGUCAAGUCUUGUUCUGCUCCAGGUCGGAGCUUCUUUUUUGGAUCAUGAUUCACUCCCCAACUAUUCUCAGAAAGAUAAAAGUUCAAGCAUCAUUCUUCCAUUUAUGG